This 468-nucleotide ribosomal RNA is filed under the name Selenomonas sp. oral taxon 140. RNAcentral's name for it is "bacterial SSU rRNA". It matches the Rfam family "Bacterial small subunit ribosomal RNA", at positions 28 to 473 of the family's 1533-position model. Lineage: Bacteria; Bacillati; Bacillota; Negativicutes; Selenomonadales; Selenomonadaceae. The record is from RNAcentral.
GACGAACGCUGGCGGCGUGCUUAACACAUGCAAGUCGAGCGGAGCGAAUGAAAGCUUGCUUUUAUAAGCUUAGUGGCAAACGGGUGAGUAACACGUAGACAACCUGCCGACAGGAUGGGGACAACAUUCCGAAAGGAAUGCUAAUACCGAAUGAAGUCGAGGGAAGGCAUCUUCCUUCGAUGAAAGAUGGCCUCUAUAUAUAAGCUAUCACCUGUUGAUGGGUCUGCGUCUGAUUAGCUGGUAGGUGAGGUAACGGCUCACCUAGGCGACGAUCAGUAGCCGGUCUGAGAGGAUGAACGGCCACAUUGGGACUGAGACACGGCCCAGACUCCUACGGGAGGCAGCAGUGGGGAAUCUUCCGCAAUGGGCGCAAGCCUGACGGAGCAACGCCGCGUGAGUGAAGAAGGUCUUCGGAUCGUAAAGCUCUGUUGAUGGGGACGAACGUGCCUAAUGCGAAUAGUUUUAGGU